Culex pipiens pallens (northern house mosquito) is the source of this 1519-nucleotide long non-coding RNA. RefSeq lists it as uncharacterized. Lineage: Eukaryota; Metazoa; Arthropoda; Insecta; Diptera; Culicidae. The transcript is spliced from 4 exons. The record is from RefSeq and is a predicted model, not a curated record.
AAUUUCUUCAACAUCAACGUGUUUUUUUUUUUGUAAACGGACGGCGUGGAGUUCCGGGCCGCAGUAGGGCUCCGAAAAAAACCUUUUUCGGUCUUUUUGACGUGAAACUUGCACAGCACCAGCGAAGACUGUUUCGGCCGUCAAGGAGCCGGCGCCAGCAUGGACAACAACGAGAACAAACUACCGGCUCAGGUGACCGCCUGCGAAGGUGCCGCAAGCUCAAGCUGCUUCGUCGCGACCUGCUGCGCGCGGCCAAGUACACCAAGAAGAUGCCCGCAUGGAGCGUAAGGUGAUCGAAACAUCAACAUUCCGGCCGAGCCGAAGGUGACUUUCGUGAUCGGUGCUAUCUAUAUGGUCGCCCCGAAUGACCGCAAGUUGCUGCAGCUGUUUCAUCUGCGUCAGAUAAACAACGCCACCUUCAUCACCUAUGUGUACCCCUUGCUCAUGCUCAUCCGCAGGCUGGUCUACAAGCGUGGCUUCGUCAAGCACCGACACAGCCGCAUUCCGAAGCUGCGCGCCGCGUACAAGCUGCAGUGCGUCGUUGACCAGAUCAACACCGGUCCAGGUUCCAAAAGGUCGCAGUUUUGAAAGGUCAAAAUAUCCUGGUCAAGGUAGUUCAAGAACAACAACGAUGCGCAGUUUGCCACUAAACGAGCGCAAUGUAGCAAAUUUCUGCCCAGAAUCCGUUGGCUGGUUUCGCAAUUUCAAUAUGUUGAGUACUAUCCUCAGUCAUCGCUAGUCUUGCUGGAAACGGCCAGCUUCCCGCAACAAGAUCGCUCACACUUGAAUCCACCAGUUUGCCGAGAUUGUGGUCGAGACUUAUCUGCUGGCGCAUAAAUACGUACGGAAGGCUCCAGCCGUCUCAGCGGACCAGCUUGUGGCGCUUGUUCGAACGCAGAACAACUACACCAACUACUGGGCCCCGUCGUACUACAAAGUCACCAUGCCCCCCGCACCAAAAUCUCGUGUGAAGCGUAACUCGCCUCGUAUACGACCCUGACCCUUUUGCUGCGCCCGAAACGGCGCGUACUGUCUGGUGUUCAAGACAGCAAAGCUGAUGCUCGGAACUCAUCUCCGCGCCUUAUGGCAGCUGUUCGGCUAACGGACGAGUUGUUCAGAUUCAGAUUGACGACACUGUUUGCGCAGCGUCGCGAAGGAAGAUAAACAGUUUGAGGUGACCAUCUUCUGGCGAACUACGCUAAGGGCGUACCCGUUGAGGGAAACGCGCGUGCCAUGUCCAAACUGCAGAUCGAGGGUGAAACGGCGUUCCUGGAUCUGGGGUUUCCCGAGGUAACGCAGUCAAGUGCUGCUGUGGUUUUAUGUCCCAGAAGUCGGAUGAGCAAGCCCCACACCUGUGCUGGGACGCAUUCCCCAUAGCGCCCGGCCACAACCCGUUUGACAACUUUUGUCAAAAACAUCCGGAAGUUGCAUUAUGUAAGUUUGUGAAACUGCGAUUGGAAUUUCCACCUAUUUAUUUCGAUUAGAGAGAAUUUAGACUUCAAACAAAAUUAUUGCCUUU